RNAcentral lists this unclassified non-coding RNA (385 nucleotides) under fungal sp. RNAcentral describes it as "partial internal transcribed spacer region". The stretch from base 1 to 46 matches the Rfam family "Eukaryotic small subunit ribosomal RNA", at positions 1786 to 1831 of the family's 1831-position model. The record is from RNAcentral. Lineage: Eukaryota; Fungi.
AAGUCGUAACAAGGUUUCCGUAGGUGAACCUGCGGAAGGAUCAUUAUUACGUAUCCACGUAUCAAACCAAAUCGUGAACUUGUGUCCCAUCUGGUGAGGGUUUUCUGCGAGUGUUUCUCGAUUCUGGCACGGUGGAGAGAACUUAAAGGGUUAUCCUCACGGAAGCCUUUUACAUGUUCUCAGAGAACCUCGGUACCUGGGACAGGCGACCUUCGGGCUACCUGGACUCAGCUCCCUGGAUGUGGUUAUUUUACCAUCUGCUGUGCCAAACAAUUAUUAACCCCUUGUAACAAAAUUUGAACUAACAUACGCUGAGCAACUUAACGGUUCUCAGUGGACAACCGAAACUUAAGAACAACUCUUAACAACGGAUAUCUUGGUUCUC